CCUACGGGUGGCAGCAGUAGGGAAUAUUGCACAAUGGUGGAAACCCUGAUGCAGCGACGCCGCGUGAGGGAAGAAGGUUUUCGGUAUGGAAACUUCUAUCAGCCAGGAAGCAAAUGACGGUACGUGACUACGCAUCCCCGGCUAACUCCAUGCCAGCAGCCGCAGUAAUACGGAGGGGGCAAUCGUUAUCCGGAUUUACUGGGUGUAAAGGGGGCGUAGGCGGUUUAGCAAGUCAGAAGUGAAAGCCCGGGGCUCAACCCCGGGACUGCUUUUGAAACUGUUGAACUAGAUUGCAGGAGAGGUAAGUGGAAUUCCCAGUGUAGCGGUGAAAUGCGUAGAUAUCAGGAGGAACACCAGUGGCGAAGGCGGCUUACUGGACUGUAAAUGACGCUGAGGCUCGAAAGCGUGGGGAGCAAACAGGAUUAGAUACCCCAGUAGUC
RNAcentral lists this ribosomal RNA (440 nucleotides) under uncultured bacterium. Its description in RNAcentral is "partial 16S ribosomal RNA". It matches the Rfam family "Bacterial small subunit ribosomal RNA", at positions 338 to 795 of the family's 1533-position model. The record is from RNAcentral.